AUUGAACGCUGGCGGCAUGCUUUACACAUGCAAGUCGAACGGUAACAGGUUAAGCUGACGAGUGGCGAACGGGUGAGUAAUGCAUCGGAACGUGCCCGAUCGUGGGGGAUAACGCAGCGAAAGCUGCGCUAAUACCGCAUACGAUCUGAGGAUGAAAGCGGGGGACCGUAAGGCCUCGCGCGAUCGGAGCGGCCGAUGUCAGAUUAGGUAGUUGGUGGGGUAAAGGCCCACCAAGCCGACGAUCUGUAGCUGGUCUGAGAGGACGACCAGCCCCACUGGGACUGGGACACGGCCCAGACUCCUACGGGAGGCAGCAGUGGGGAAUUUUGGACAAUGGGCGAAAGCCUGAUCCAGCAAUGCCGCGUGCAGGAAGAAGGCCUUCGGGUUGUAAACUGCUUUUGUACGGAGCGAAAAGGUCCUUUCUAAUACAAGGGGCUCAUGACGGUACCGUAAGAAUAAGCACCGGCUAACUACGUGCCAGCCGCCGCAGUAA
This 493-nucleotide ribosomal RNA is filed under the name uncultured bacterium. Its description in RNAcentral is "partial 16S ribosomal RNA". It matches the Rfam family "Bacterial small subunit ribosomal RNA", at positions 30 to 523 of the family's 1533-position model. The record is from RNAcentral.